RNAcentral lists this ribosomal RNA (744 nucleotides) under Echinoparyphium aconiatum. RNAcentral describes it as "12S ribosomal RNA". Lineage: Eukaryota; Metazoa; Platyhelminthes; Trematoda; Plagiorchiida; Echinostomatidae. The record is from RNAcentral.
UAUCUAUUUAAUUCUGGUUGUAGAAGGUGAAAAGGCAGGACUACAUAAAACAGGUUUAUGAGAUUAAUAAGAGGUUUCAUUAUUAGGGUUUAGUAGCUAGAUCUUAGUUUUCGGAGAAAUCCGGAUUAGGUUGUCUUUUUUAAAGUGGUGAAUACUCAGUGCCAGCAUCCGCGGUUAUUCUGUUAGCUUUAUCUUCGGUAGUAGGUUUAAACGAUUUAAAAGUUAUUGGCUAGUGAGGGGUAGAAUCUUUCUGGUUUAAAAACAGGCUUUUAAAGGAUUUUAUAUCAAGGUUUAUUAAGGGGAUUAGAUACCCCCGUAAUCUUGCUUAAAUUUUGUUCCUUAGUAAAAACUAAAAGGAUUUGGCAGCCGACGAGGUUCUUCCGGGGGAGCGUGUAUCAUAAAAGAUAGUCCGCUUAAGAAUCAACCCUCUUUAGUUUAGUUAGUGUAUAUCCGGUUUAAGAUUUGUGGUUAAUGUCUAUGAGUGUAACUAUUCGUUUAAUCCAGGUCUAUGUGCUGCUUAUAUUGGGGGGCUUAUGCGCUACAUUAUUAAAUGGGCUGAUGGGAAGUUUAUCAGUUAAGUUAAGGACUCGGAAGUAGGCUUUGAAGUUAGUAUGUUAAGUCGAAAAUGAUUUAGUUGGGGUACACACCGCCCGUCACCCAGGGCGAUAGCUGUGGUAAGUCGUAACAUGGUAAUACUAGGGGAACCUGGUGUUAGUUGAUUCGUUGCGUAUUUUGCGCGGGUUU